GACGAACGCUGUCGGCGUGCUUAACACAUGCAAGUCGAACGGAAAGGCCCUGCUUUUGUGGGGUGCUCGAGUGGCGAACGGGUGAGUAACACGUGAGUAACCUGCCCUUGACUUUGGGAUAACUUCAGGAAACUGGGGCUAAUACCGGAUAGGAGCUCCUGCUGCAUGGUGGGGGUUGGAAAGUUUCGGCGGUUGGGGAUGGACUCGCGGCUUAUCAGCUUGUUGGUGGGGUAGUGGCUUACCAAGGCUUUGACGGGUAGCCGGCCUGAGAGGGUGACCGGCCACAUUGGGACUGAGAUACGGCCCAGACUCCUACGGGAGGCAGCAGUGGGGAAUAUUGCACAAUGGGCGGAAGCCUGAUGCAGCAACGCCGCGUGCGGGAUGACGGCCUUCGGGUUGUAAACCGCUUUCGCCUGUGACGAAGCGUGAGUGACGGUAAUGGGUAAAGAAGCACCGGCUAACUACGUACCAGCAGCCGCGGUGAUACGUAGGGUGCGAGCGUUGUCCGGAUUUAUUGGGCGUAAAGGGCUCGUAGGUGGUUGAUCGCGUCGGAAGUGUAAUCUUGGGGCUUAACCCUGAGCGUGCUUUCGAUACGGGUUGACUUGAGGAAGGUAGGGGAGAAUGGAAUUCCUGGUGGAGCGGUGGAAUGCGCAGAUAUCAGGAGGAACACCAGUGGCGAAGGCGGUUCUCUGGGCCUUUCCUGACGCUGAGGAGCGAAAGCGUGGGGAGCGAACAGGCUUAGAUACCCUGGUAGUCCACGCUGUAAACGGUGGGUACUAGGUGUGGGGUCCAUUCCACGGGUUCCGUGCCGUAGCUAACGCUUUAAGUACCCCGCCUGGGGAGUACGGCCGCAAGGCUAAAACUCAAAGGAAUUGACGGGGCCCCGCACAAGCGGCGGAGCAUGCGGAUUAAUUCGAUGCAACGCGUAGAACCUUACCUGGGUUUGACAUGGAUCGGGAGUGCUCAGAGAUGGGUGUGCCUCUUUUGGGGUCGGUUCACAGGUGGUGCAUGGCUGUCGUCAGCUCGUGUCGUGAGAUGUUGGGUUAAGUCCCGCAACGAGCGCAACCCUUGUUCACUGUUGCCAGCACGUUAUGGUGGGGACUCAGUGGAGACCGCCGGGGCCAACUCGGAGGAAGGUGGGGAUGACGUCAAGUCAUCAUGCCCCUUAUGUCCAGGGCUUCACGCAUGCUACAAUGGCUGGUACAGAGAGUGGCGAGCCUGUGAGGGUGAGCGAAUCUCGGAAAGCCGGUCUCAGUUCGGAUUGGGGUCUGCAACUCGACCUCAUGAAGUCGGAGUCGCUAGUAAUCGCAGAUCAGCAACGCUGCGGUGAAUACGUUCCCGGGGCU
RNAcentral lists this ribosomal RNA (1346 nucleotides) under uncultured bacterium. Its description in RNAcentral is "partial 16S ribosomal RNA". It matches the Rfam family "Bacterial small subunit ribosomal RNA", at positions 28 to 1381 of the family's 1533-position model. The record is from RNAcentral.